Molecule: transfer RNA, 71 nt
Filed under: Marmota monax (woodchuck)
Lineage: Eukaryota; Metazoa; Chordata; Mammalia; Rodentia; Sciuridae
Description: tRNA.Ala
Source: RNAcentral
GGGGUUGUGGCUCAGCGGUAGAGCGCUCGCCUAGCAUGUGUGAGGUGCUGGGUUUAAUCCUCAGUACCACA